This 68-nucleotide transfer RNA is filed under the name Sicista strandi. RNAcentral describes it as "tRNA-Asp". The record is from RNAcentral. Lineage: Eukaryota; Metazoa; Chordata; Mammalia; Rodentia; Dipodidae.
GAGUUCUAGUAAAAAAAUUACAUAACUUUGUCAAGGUUAAAUUACGGAAUAAUCUCCGUGCACUCCUA